This 443-nucleotide ribosomal RNA is filed under the name Burkholderia sp. 15(2011). RNAcentral describes it as "bacterial SSU rRNA". It matches the Rfam family "Bacterial small subunit ribosomal RNA", at positions 30 to 483 of the family's 1533-position model. Lineage: Bacteria; Pseudomonadati; Pseudomonadota; Betaproteobacteria; Burkholderiales; Burkholderiaceae. The record is from RNAcentral.
AUUGAACGCUGGCGGCAUGCCUUACACAUGCAAGUCGAACGGCAGCACGGGUGCUUGCACCUGGUGGCGAGUGGCGAACGGGUGAGUAAUACAUCGGAACAUGUCCAGUAGUGGGGGAUAGCCCGGCGAAAGCCGGAUUAAUACCGCAUACGAUCUUUGGAUGAAAGCGGGGGAUCGCAAGACCUCGCGCUAUUGGGGUGGCCGAUGGCGGAUUAGCUAGUUGGCUGGGUAAAGGCUCACCAAGGCGACGAUCCGUAGCUGGUCUGAGAGGACGACCAGCCACACUGGGACUGAGACACGGCCCAGACUCCUACGGGAGGCAGCAGUGGGGAAUUUUGGACAAUGGGCGAAAGCCUGAUCCAGCAAUGCCGCGUGUGUGAAGAAGGCCUUCGGGUUGUAAAGCACUUUUGUCCGGAAAGAAAUCCUUUUCGAUAAUACCGGAA